GGAGAUAUGGCUCAGAGGUUAAGAGCACUGACAGCUCUUUCAGAGGUCCUGAGUUCAAUUCCCAGCAUCCACA
Non-coding RNA from Mus musculus (house mouse), 73 nucleotides. NCBI's taxonomy places the organism in Eukaryota, Metazoa, Chordata, Mammalia, Rodentia, Muridae. The record is from Rfam.